GACGAACGCUGGCGGCGUGCUUAACACAUGCAAGUCGAACGGAAAGGCCCUGCUUUUGUGGGGUGCUCGAGUGGCGAACGGGUGAGUAACACGUGAGUAACCUGCCCUUGACUUUGGGAUAACUUCAGGCAACUGGGGCUAAUACCGGAUAGGAGCUCCUGCUGCAUGGUGGGGGUUGGAAAGUUUCGGCGGUUGGGGAUGGACUCGCGGCUUAUCAGCUUGUUGGUGGGGUAGUGGCUUACCAAGGCUUUGACGGGUAGCCGGCCUGGGAGGGUGACCGGCCACAUUGGGACUGAGAUACGGCGCAGAGUCCUACGGGAGGCAGCAGUGGGGAAUAUGGCACAAUGGGCGGAAGCGUGAUGCAGAAACGCUGCGUGCGGGAUGACGGCUUUCGGGUUGGAAACCGCUUUCGCCUGUGACGAAGCGUGAGUGACGGUAAUGGGUAAAGAAGCACCGGCUAACUACGUG
RNAcentral lists this ribosomal RNA (468 nucleotides) under uncultured bacterium. Its description in RNAcentral is "partial 16S ribosomal RNA". It matches the Rfam family "Bacterial small subunit ribosomal RNA", at positions 28 to 507 of the family's 1533-position model. The record is from RNAcentral.